RNAcentral lists this ribosomal RNA (419 nucleotides) under uncultured ammonia-oxidizing beta proteobacterium. RNAcentral describes it as "bacterial SSU rRNA". It matches the Rfam family "Bacterial small subunit ribosomal RNA", at positions 197 to 597 of the family's 1533-position model. Lineage: Bacteria; Pseudomonadati; Pseudomonadota; Betaproteobacteria. The record is from RNAcentral.
UGGAGGAAAGCAGGGGAUCGUAAGACCUUGCGCUUUUGGAGUGGCCGAUGCCUGAUUAGCUAGUUGGUGGGGUAAAGGCCUACCAAGGCGACGAUCAGUAGUUGGUCUGAGAGGACGACCAGCCACACUGGGACUGAGACACGGCCCAGACUCCUACGGGAGGCAGCAGUGGGGAAUUUUGGACAAUGGGCGAAAGCCUGAUCCAGCAAUGCCGCGUGAGUGAAGAGGGCCUUCGGGUUGUAAAGCUCUUUCAGUCGAGAAGAAAAGAUUGUGAUGAAUAAUCACAGUUCAUGACGGUAUCGACAGAAGAAGCACCGGCUAACUACGUGCCAGCAGCCGCGGUAAUACGUAGGGUGCAAGCGUUAAUCGGAAUUACUGGGCGUAAAGGGUGCGCAGGCGGCUUUGUAAGUCAGAUGUGA